Molecule: long non-coding RNA, 7613 nt
Organism: Numida meleagris (helmeted guineafowl)
Lineage: Eukaryota; Metazoa; Chordata; Aves; Galliformes; Numididae
Exons: 9
Source: RefSeq, a predicted model, not a curated record
GUCACAGAAGUACAGGAGGUAGUGAAGGAGAACCACUAGAAGUCAGAUGGAAUAUGAUGUAAAGACCUUGCGAAGACUUGAUGUGAAAUGAAAAGGUUGCCCUUUGGAUACAGACCUAAAAGCUGUUGCAGCUGAAGCCCUAAGGGAGGACAACGACCUCAUUUGGAUCAAAUGUCUUUGCUCCCUGUGGGCUGACUGCAUCAGAUCUCUGGAAGGUUAAUUAUUACCAGCGACUACCAGAGAUGGAACCGGCUGUCAGCAUUUGAGCAAGGGGUAAAAAUGACAGCCGGUGCGUGCAUUUAGCCACACGCACGUUGGCAGGGUAUGGCUGGGAAUGAAAGGGAGUGUUGCGGACUGCUCCAGCAUCCUCGUGCGCUCGCCCGCUGCUCUGCUCCGGCACAGGCACGCAGCUGGGUGGGAACAAGCAAGCCUGUGGAGCUCCCUGUUCAGCCCGAGAGGCUGAGGCGUCCAAAAGAAGCUCUGCAGGAAGAUCUGCCGAGGAGGAAAAUACAACAGGCGCCGUGUGGAACGCAGCUGAGGACAGCCAGGGGGGGACACACCAGCCCCCUAAGGGGGUGCCUGGGGUCCAGCCUGGAUGUGGCAUCCACCAGCACCAUGAGCUCGGUGCAGCACUCUGAGAAGGGCAGCGCAGACCACAGCAAGCAUGGCAGUAUAACCGUCGAAUAUGGCAAGCAUCAGGAACAGACUGAAGCAUGGAGAAUGGCAGGGAGAAGAGGCCAACCCCCAUCUCACUGCUACCUCCUUUCAGGGAGCUGUCAAGGGCAAUAAGGUCUGCCCUGAGCCCUCUCUUCUCCAGACUGGACGCUUCCAGUUCCAUCAGCCUUUGGAAGCCUGCCCCAUGCUGCCCUCACAAACAGCCCCAUGGUCCCUGAUGCCGUGCAUCUCACCCCAGCCAGGUCCACAGUGAAAGGUCACCUCCACCCAAACAGGCUCUAUCUGGUAGGUAAAGCAGGUGGAAGGAAGCCAUUGGAGAUGUCAGUGAUGUGCUCCAUGUCACCCAACAGGGCCGUGGUAGGGAUAGAAGGUGAGCCUUGCUGUCUCCAGCGCAGUGCGUGUCAGCUGGUGUCAUCCUGCAGCAGCACUGAAAACCUGCCAAUGCUGACCUUGCAAAACCAGCCUCCAGGAGUCAUGACAUCAGCUGUUUUACAGUCAUCUCUUUGUAUCUGCUUUAUUUUCUGUUUCUUGAGCUCUUAAACAGACUUUAAGUAUCUUUAUCUUAACAGAGCUCUAUCCCCAUAGACAAGAGCACAGGGUGAUGCUCCCUCUGCCUGCAGCCCCAUGCCUGGGUCUUGGUGGUUCCCACCAGGAUGCAUAAAACAGGCUCAGGGGAGUGACUGAUGAGUAUUGGUCAAUGCUAUGGGAAAAUCUGGAAAUAAAACCAAUAUCAAUCCCAUUGUCCAGUAUCAAUCCCAUUGCUAACCCUCAGCCAAAAGACUGAAUGCUCCAUCUGAAGAAGGGAAGUGUUUGUGGUUCAGAUGGAAAUCUUGGUGAUCUCCAGUGCCAGCCCACCUCCCCAUUCCUCCAGCUGAGGGAUCCCAUACACUCCUACCCACACAGAUGGGCCUCAUUCAUGGUGCAGCCUGGUGGUUCCCUCAAGGAAGGAUCUUGGCUGGUGACCCCCAGACCUGCCCACCCGUGGCUGUGAGGUGGCCAAGGCAAACCACUGUGGGUGAUUGUCCUCUUGGUAGUCCUCUGUUUGGGAUUGCUCUCCCCUCCUUGGCCAGGAAGAGGCAUUCCUGGUCAUGAAAAAUCAUUUUUGACAGAGAAAAGCACUGUGCUCCGUGACUCUGGAACUCAGCUGAAAUCUCACCUGCAGCAAGGAGUAACACAAAACAGGCCAUUGAUUUUGUGACACAAGGAGGAGAAGAUGGCCAUGUCUGGAUGGACACAGCUUUUAAAGAAGAAAGCAUGCUUAUUCUACAUAUUUUUCUAAGAGGCUGUGAUCAGCCAGAUAAUGAAGAAGGGUCUGUAGGCUGUCCAGUGGCUGGAUUUCCCCCUCCUUUGUUUUGCUUAGCAGAAAACACAGGUGUUUGUUUUCUUUCUGCUCGGUUUUGGAAUAGAAAUGUUUUUGUCUUCAAUUGCCAAAUAUUCUUCGGACCAGAAAGUCAGAACCCUGCUCUGAUGAGCAGCACGACAGAAAGACACAUUUGCCCCUAUUUUUCUCUGGCUUUGCUGAGGGGUUCCCAUCUGUGGGGCUGCAUUCGUCCCUCCCAGGCUCUGUGGGAUCAAGCAGAAGCCUCCUCGCUGCCCAUUCUCACCACAUCCCUUUGUUCCCAGGAAGCUACAGCAACCUCGUUUUGGAAGCAGGUGGGAGGAGGGAAAACGCUUUUUUUUUUUUUUUUCCCCUUUUAUUCUUUUGCAAGCUUUAAUUAUUGAAGGACUGAAUUUGAGCUGUUCUUGUCUUCUUCCUUCCCAUCAUUUCCCGGACAGCAUUUCUAACAAAGGCCUGUGGCUUGGGUUUGAGGAUUUUUUUUCCUUUUUCUUUUCCCCUCCAGAGAUCUAAGGGAUGUAAUGAGACACCAGCACCCUCUCCUCCCUGCAGCCCCCAGCCCAAGCCCUCCGCCUUGCCAGCCCAUCCCGGCUGUCCUGCUCCCGGGGGAGGGAGGGCACCCGACCUGGACAGUCCUCCUGGGAGGUGAGCACGAUAGAGUUACAAGGGGGAGCAGCUUGCACACUGCCUCCACUUUGAUGAGGGAACAUUUCAUUAUAUCUAUCUCCCCCCAGCCUUCUCCCAGUGAAAAAGAUCUCCUAUUGUCUAGGCUAAUUUGUCCUUUUUGCUUAAUGCCCCAACCUGUGUGCUAAACCCUCAGCUCACGUUACUCCACCACCCAUCUCUCCGACUCCACUACCAGAGCCAUAUAAUGCAAUAGAAGGAGUCUGUGUGUCCUCCUUACGCUCUUUGUGCCCUAGGGCAAUACCAGGAUCUCAAGCCCUUCAGGCACAAAAGAAGUUGGAGCAUGUCAAUUAGGCAUGGCCGUAGAAUCACAGAAUCAUAGAAUCAUUGAAUCAUUAAGGUUGGGAAGGACCACUAAGAUCACCUAGUCUGUCAGCUCAUCACCACCAUACCCACUAUUUUCCUCAGUGCCACGUCUCCAGGUUUCAUGAACACCUCCAGGGACAGUGACUCCACCACCUCCCUGGGCAGCAAGGUGUCUAAAAACCUCCAGAGAUUUGUAUUCCACAGACCCAGGUCUACCGGAGCUUGCAAUGUGGAGCAGUGCCAUACGACCUCACCAUGCCAAGUGUGGUCACAUCGCUUGUGUCAGCUGGGGAGGAUGGAAGAGAGCAGGACCCAUCCUCCCAGACACCUCUCCAAGCUGUAUGUCUGAGGUUCUGUACCAGACAAAGGCCGAGAGCCCAUAAGGAAGCCAAGGAGCUGCCUUUGCCCCUCACUAUGCUCCAGGAGUAGGGAGGCAUCAUCAAAAGGCAUAAUGCAAGGGGCUGGCAUACACAGAGGAUGGGCUGGAGAAAGAGAGCAGAGGAGGGAGGAGAGCAGAGCAGUUGCCAGGCUGACUUGAGCCAGAGUCUUUCAUGGGGGGGCAAGGGGCAGGGAACAUGGAGGAUCAACAUUGUCUUCUCCAAAGAGGAGAAGAAAAGAGUGAGAGAAUGCAGGAGGAAGACAAAGGGAAACAGGACUUGUUGGGGAAAAGAGGGGGACGCUCAGGGAUUGAAGCAGGCUGGGGUCCAACUUAAUAAGAAGCGAACCAAAACAAAACCCAAACAAAAAGUGACUCAAGUUGGCUGUGGGCACCCCCUCCCCCUCCCGCCAUCCCCAGAAGGCAGCAGAGCUGCGGCUUCAAACAGCCGCCUCACAAUAAAUUCAUGGCAGCCAGGGCCGGGAAACAGGCUGCUGCAAUUUAAAGGAAGCGUGGAUUUGCAUAUUGAAUUAAAAUUAAGAGCUAAUUAUGCAAAUAAAUUAUGACAUUUGGCAGGAGAAUUUGCUUCAAGAUCAUUUAUUACGUUCUUUUUAUAACAGUGCGAGCGUUUAACGGUCAAAGACAAUAUUUUAAAGGAAAAUUAACGCAAGAUUAUUAACCUAAAAACAAUUCCACAUUAAUGAGAUGUAUUUCUCUUCAACUUCUCACACCUGGCUGCCUAUUGAUGCCCAGCCAGGACUGUCUCUCAAUAAUUGGCAUUUUUUUUUGCAGGCAAAUAUUGAAUGAGGUGGUGAAUGUUGCUUUGGACAAACUCACUUAGGAAAAUUCCUUCAGGGUUUUAGCUUGCUGGUCUGUAAAGGGAAGUUGUGAAGGUCAAACAUGUUUCAUGUCGUUCUUCUGUGCGCUCGGACCGACUGGAUCCGAAUGCACCUGGGAGAGGACACAGCACCGGGUACCCCAUCCACAUGAGAAUAAAAGCUCUCCUGUGAAAAUGGGCGUGAUUGCUUUUCAGAAGAGAUGUAAAAUGAAGGUCUUAGCCAUUUGUGGUCAUUAAAGGUCCCAUGGCUUUUUUUCAGAAGAUCGGAGCCAUUAGCCCUGGUGUCUUGGCUCCCUCCAGCCCCACCAACUGCUGCUCGCCUGAUGCUGGGACCUUCGUUUGGGGCCACUUUCUGCUCUGCCUGUCCCAGGGUUGUGCAGUGCCAUCAGUGGCCAGGGCUCUCCCACAAGAAGGAAGGCUUCAAGAAAGUUCCAGGUUGAGUUUUGGAUCAGAAAGGUUUGCUGGGACCCUGAGGGAUGCAAAUGGCUCCAGGACUCCAAAGAUGCCCAUUCCCGUCCAUUGUCUGAGAAGAGUACCCAGCCCAGGCUCAUCCCACACAGCUGCAGUGGUUGACUAUUAGCUGGGAGUGUGGCUGUGUGUCUACAGGGUCAGCUCUUGUACAAAUAGGAAAGAGGCCCUGCCAUUGGCUCCUGAUGGAGGAGUAUCUGAAAAAGGAGUUUGGCAAACAAAAUUGGAGUGCUGCAGCCAGAAGGGAUGCUGGGGAGCAGGAAUGCAACUUUUGCAGCCAGGUUUCAGGAGCUCCCAGCUUGAUGUUACAAGGGAGCUGCAGCCAGGAAUGACUGGAGAGGAACAAAAGUCAUACUCAGAUGGCUUAUGUAGCAAGAAAGAAUUUUCCUCCAGGACAGUAUUCUGCAGCUUUGCCAAGAAAGACCAGAGUAAUAUCCUUCGAUCAUCUUCACUCCUCCUGCUUUGCCUCUAGCCCUGGCUAUUCUCCACUGAAAUCUUCACACCCUUAGGGCAGCAUGGGAGGAAAGACACAAUUGAAACUGAUUUCUAAUGUUUGGGGGAAAAUGGAAUCAAGUUUGGGAAUAUUUCAUGGGUCCAAAUAUGAAAAAAUCCAGUAUAUUGGUGUGAAACAGCCUACUGCUCUAGUUGAGCACAUUCCUGAAAGUAUUGAAAUGAGAACACAGAACACAUCCAGGUCUUCAAAAAAGCAUGAGAUGAAGAACAGGACCUGCAGUCACAUAUCCUACCUGAAGCCACUUGGUGUCCUCUCUGAAAACUUUGACCUUCCCAAAUUCUGCUCUCUCUGAGCCAUCCCAGCAGAGGGGAACUCAAUCCAUUGCCACUGCUACUUCAAAAUGGGAAAGUGCAACAACCAGACAAGUGAUGCGAGAAGUCAGCUUGAGCUGGCAAGUCAGUCUGAGGUGAUGGUCUUCUGAAAAGUCUCGGUUCACAGACCUACUACUACUGGCAAGAGGCGCUUGGUAUUUCUCUUCUGCAGCAGAUAGGCUCAGAAGAUGAGAGCAGAGUGAUGAAGUGUGAGACCAGAAGUGUGAGCUUCCCAAAGGUGACAAAAUGGGUUCUCCAGCCUGUUGAUUUGCAAGAAAAGAAAGCUUCAGUGGAACCAAAACAAGAUUAUGGCCAGGUACGUGCAUCACUGAAAUUGCCUGCGACGCGUAAAUCUGCUGUUUGCCCACUCCCACUACAAGCAUAAUUUUGUUUUAUCACUACAGUCUCGUGGUGCCCUACACAACUUGGCAGUCAGUUUCCCAGCAUGAAAUCACACCUGUCUGGAAAAAUGCAUGGAAUAUAGAGAGGCAGAACAAUAUGCAGAGGUGGGCUCUACUUGCAAGGUGUGUGCUCAGAUGGUCUGAGGACCACGGCAAAACAGACGUGGUGUCAUUGUCACAGCCCCUGGGUGCCCUGGCAGUGUUGGAUGGCACACAGCCUGUAUCAUCGCGAGUUCAGUAUGCACUUCACAGAGGUGCUCACUGCUGGCUGUGGGUCUCUGUGCAUCUUACACAUCUGGCUGUCAUUUCAGGUCUCGGUUCCCGUGCUCCCUCUGCCCUGUGCUGAGCCAGGCUUGCCAGCUCCCUGCGGGAGGAGUGAGCAAAGCCGGGCUCUAGCCGGGCGCCUCGAUGGCAUCGACACCACAUGGCAGGUGAUCCUGCACCGCAGUCACGCGAAGCCAAACCUGAGGGCUCCUCCGCAAAGGAGACCCGAGCCCUUUAAGGAAGAGAGGAGCAGAAAUCAAUUGUCUGCUCGCCUUCCUCCCCGGGCCCCCCUUUCUCCCUCCUCCAUCACCACCACCACCACACACGCACCCUAUUCACCCUGCUGGAAGGUGACAUUUGCUAUUAACCUUAUAUUGGGCCAUUUUGUAAAUCAAUGUCACUUACAUUUAAUAACAAGUGUAAUCAAAGGAAUUAUGCAAAUUUAAUUUGAUGCUUCUUGAAUUAUGCAAAUCUGCACCACAUAUAAUGGCUUCUGACAUGUGCCCAGUUGGAGAACGUUCCAUUACCUCCUCUCUUAUUACCCCUAUUAUUAUUUUUAUUUUUUUAUCCUGUGGUGGGGGGGAGGGAGAAGGGAGGGAGCGGCAGUUAGGCUCGGAGGCAGGGGGGACAAGGGAGUGCGGUGGGAAGAGAAGGGAAAGAAGAGGGGUGGUGGAGGAAAGUGCUCCUUUGCCUGCAUUUCGAGUAGCAAAGCCUCCUGAAGGCAUUUCUGUUAUUGUUAUUGCAGAGCAAGGAGAGCGGGGCAGGGGGGGAGGAAUGGGGAUGGGGGGAAUCAUUUCCCAUGAAUGGCUUUGCAGGCAAUAAUACUAUAAGCCUCUGAUUCUAAAUUACUGCCCUUCCAGUCCUAUCUCCAGCACGAUAUUACUCUCCUUGGCCUCCUCUUCCUGAAUUAUAAGGCAAGCUGGGGGAGGGUGAGAGAAGUGGGGAGCAGGACCCAGAGCGCAAUACACAGGGCAAAUGGGUGAAAAAAGGGGGUGCUUCUUGUUGCUCCAGGGCCACCUCAGGUCCUCGUCCUCUGGAGGAUAACUCUUUUUUUUCCCUCUUGACUUUUCCAUUGCUCUCUCAUUUCCUUGCAUGUGACCCUGAGAUCAGAAGACGGAUGCGCCACAAACUGCUGUACCUUCUCAGAAACUUGGGGCAUCAAUACCCAGCAGUAACCCAGCUUCCCUCCUUUGCAACAGCUUCAGUGUCCACAGCACCACAAGUCAGAGUGGACCUGCCUCCUCCUACAUUGCCUUUUCUUGUUAGAGAGGAUUUGAUGAGCAGUUCUGGGCCACAUUUCCCUCUGCCGUACUACUCACAACAACUGCAGAGUGACUCUUUUCAUGACAACUGAUGCAGUGUGACCUUAGGCAAAAGCAAUCCCACGCGUGUCUUGGUGUCUUCAUGCUCGUAGAAUGCACAUAAAGAACUUCAUCUACC